GGUAAACGCUGGCGGCGUGCCUAAAACAUGCAAGUCGAACGGGCAGCCUUCGGGCUGUCAGUGGCAGACGGCUGAGUAACGCGUGGGUGACGUACCUAUCGAUGGGGAAUAACUGCCCGAAAGGGUGGCUAAUACCGCAUACGCCCGUUGAUUCGUGUUGACGGGGAAAGUCUCGCGAGAGGCAUCGAUGGAGCGGCCCGCGUCCGAUUAGCUGGUUGGUGGGGUAACGCCUACCAAGGCGACGAUCGGUAGCUGGUCUCAGAGGAUGAUCAGCCAGACUGGGACUGAGACACGGCCCAGACUCCUACGGGAGGCAGCAGUUAGGAAUUUUGGGCAAUGGGCGCAAGCCUGACCCAGCAACGCCGCGUGGGUGACGAAGG
Molecule: ribosomal RNA, 380 nt
Filed under: uncultured bacterium
Lineage: Bacteria
Description: bacterial SSU rRNA
Rfam family: Bacterial small subunit ribosomal RNA
Source: RNAcentral